This 507-nucleotide ribosomal RNA is filed under the name uncultured bacterium. RNAcentral describes it as "bacterial SSU rRNA". It matches the Rfam family "Bacterial small subunit ribosomal RNA", at positions 15 to 507 of the family's 1533-position model. The record is from RNAcentral.
GAUCAUGGCUCAGGAUGAACGCUGCGGCAUGCCUAAGACAUGCAAGUCGAACGAGACGGCCCAAUGAAGAUGGAGUGCUUGCACAAAGUUGGAUUUGGUUUCCCGUCUAGUGGCGCAAGGGUGAGUAACACGUGGGUAAUCUACCUUCGAGUCUGGAAUAACAGUUAGAAAUGAUUGCUAAUACCGGAUAAGAGCGCCUCCUUGGAGGGAGGCGGAGAAAGCGGCUUCGGCCGCGCCGGAGGAACGGCCCGCGUGCUAUUAGAUAGUUGGUGGGUAACGGCCUACCAAGUCGACGAUCAGUAGCCGGACUGAGAGGUUGAUCGGCCACAUUGGGACUGAGACACGGCCCAGACUCCUACGGGAGGCAGCAGUGGGGAAUAUUGCGCAAUGGGGGAAACCCUGACGCAGCAACGCCGCGUGAAGGAUGAAGGUCUUCGGAUUGUAAACUUUUGUCUUAUGGGACGAAAAAGGACGGUACCAUAGGAGGAAGCCACGGCUAACUACGUG